GUAGGGAAUAUUGGGCAAUGGUCGGAAGACUGACCCAACCAUGCCGCGUGCAGGAAGACGGCCCUCUGGGUUGUAAACUGCUUUUAUCUGGGAAGAAAAAGGCCAUGCGUGGCAAAUUGCCGGUACCAGAUGAAUAAGCACCGGCUAACUCCGUGCCAGCAGCCGCGGUAAUACGGAGGGUGCGAGCGUUGUCCGGAUUUAUUGGGUUUAAAGGGUGCGUAGGCGGCUGAUUAAGUCAGCGGUGAAAGACUUCGGCUUAACCGGAGCAGUGCCGUUGAUACUGGUUGGCUUGAGUGUCGGAGGGGUACAUGGAAUUGAUGGUGUAGCGGUGAAAUGCAUAGAUACCAUCAGGAACACCGAUAGCGAAGGCAUUGUACUGGCCGACAACUGACGCUGAUGCACGAAAGUGUGGGGAUCGAACAGGAUUAGAAACCCCGGUAGUCC
RNAcentral lists this ribosomal RNA (444 nucleotides) under uncultured bacterium. Its description in RNAcentral is "bacterial SSU rRNA". It matches the Rfam family "Bacterial small subunit ribosomal RNA", at positions 354 to 796 of the family's 1533-position model. The record is from RNAcentral.